GACCUCACACAGACGCUAUGGAAUAGACCACUACCUGGGAGUUGUGACAAACCCAUUUUUCUCCUGGCACAAAGACGUUAUGGAAAGACUGACCAACAGAAUGCUCGAAGACUACGAAACUUUCCAUAAAAUGGAAACAGCAGCUGGAUGCACCAGCACCAGAAGCCAGGCAGGAGGGAGCUGAAAAGAUGCAGUUUUAUCUCCAAAGGAAAGGGUGGGGAGAAUUUCUUCUAAAAUGGAUGGAGGAGUGGAAGUUAAAGACGUGAACAAAACAGGAGCCUUGGAAUAGCUUCUGUUAGAGGAUGGCCGCUGUAAUUAGAGAAGGGAGCAGUGUCGUGCCUGCCAUUUGAAUAAGGAUUCAGUGAGGUCUAUAAUGCUGAGCUAGUCAAAGGGGG
This is a long non-coding RNA of Symphalangus syndactylus (siamang), 395 nucleotides long. RefSeq lists it as uncharacterized. Lineage: Eukaryota; Metazoa; Chordata; Mammalia; Primates; Hylobatidae. The record is from RefSeq and is a predicted model, not a curated record.